CUACACACACGCUACAAUGGUCGGUACAAUAGGUUGCCAAGCCGCGAGGCGGAGGCCAAAUCCAAAAAAAGACCGGCCUCCAGUUCAGAUUGUAGGCUGCAACUCGCCUGCAUGAAGAUGGAGUUGCUAGUAACCGCAGGUCAGCAAUACUGCGGUGAAUACGUUCCCGGGUCUU
RNAcentral lists this ribosomal RNA (175 nucleotides) under uncultured Anaerolineaceae bacterium. Its description in RNAcentral is "partial 16S ribosomal RNA". It matches the Rfam family "Bacterial small subunit ribosomal RNA", at positions 1214 to 1382 of the family's 1533-position model. The record is from RNAcentral. Lineage: Bacteria; Bacillati; Chloroflexota; Anaerolineae; Anaerolineales; Anaerolineaceae.